UUCAACCAUGAGAGCUCAAAGUCUGAACAAGAAAAGGCCUAGAGGACUGCCAUCUGUUUAAGUGCUACAGUCUGAAAUCUCCUCUGAACUUGAACAGACUUGUUCAAUAAUGAUGUGGCUGAAAAAGUGAGGUGACAAAAAAUGAACUGCAGCCAGCUGUUGGCCUCCUGUGAUAUUUCCACAGAGGAACAAUCUGCACUAGGACGAUCGGGUUGAAGGCCCAGCAAAGAUUCAUCUGCGUCGAUGAGAAGUGAAAAUUGCUAAAGGAUACAAGUGAAGCAAAGAGGCACGAGGCCAGCUCUGUGAUAGAAUAGCUGUUGCAUGGAAUCGCAUUACAGCGUCUUUCUUCUUCCUGUCAAACAAACGGACUGUUCUGCCCCACUUUCAGAAGUCUCAAACUGUCUUUUCCACGGCACUGAUCCCAAAGAUUGGUUUUUGUUUUAAUGCCGUGUCGCUGGUGCUGCUCAUGCCACUUCCCUAAAAGCCCGGGAUAUUACAAAUGCUGUCCAUGCAUGCAGCUGCACACAGCAGCGAUAACUGCACUCUCAUUAAACUGUCUUCACCUGAUAAACAUGUGAUUGUUGACUGCGAUAGAGAUAAAAUACUAUAGUAUAUAGCGCUCCCUGUGAUGAGCAUCAGUCUUUAUGGGUCUAGUGACACAUGGUGUUUGUAGUUUGUUUUAUUUAACUCUUCUAUUUCUGUGCGGCAGAUGAAAGUGCCGUAAGCUUGGAGGAGAUAGCCGCUGAUUUUACACAUCAAAGUCUGGUUACAGGUCUUUGAAAGCACUACUGCAUUAUGUGGAAAUAAAAACUUUCCAAAGCCCUUUGU
Oreochromis aureus is the source of this 828-nucleotide long non-coding RNA. The record is from Ensembl. NCBI's taxonomy places the organism in Eukaryota, Metazoa, Chordata, Actinopteri, Cichliformes, Cichlidae.